Molecule: long non-coding RNA, 342 nt
Filed under: Vigna radiata
Lineage: Eukaryota; Viridiplantae; Streptophyta; Magnoliopsida; Fabales; Fabaceae
Description: long non-coding RNA (VRAD_LNC010810)
Source: RNAcentral
UUCGGGCCGGGUUCAAGUUUUUCUGGCUCGCCAAUAAAUGAGCCGGGUUGGGUUGGCUCACUAAGUGACCAACUCGUGGUGGGCCGGACCGGGUCGAGCCGGGUUACCCAUUUUGACAGCUCUAAUUUAUUUUAUAAUAGAUAAUUUUAUAAUUGACAUAUAUAUUUAAAAUAUAGCAUUUAUAAUUGUAUAUGAAUAUUUUUUUCUCCCGCGUUUUUUCUUCUUUUCUCUGCUUAUUAUAAAUAAGAAUUUGAGUGAAAUUUAAAUUUACCCUAGCCUCAACCAUUUUCACCUAUUCUCUUACUGUAGACUUCUCAAUUCUAACCGUCACCUUCACCUUGG